UACGUAGGGUGCGAGCGUUGUCCGGAAUUACUGGGCGUAGAGAGCUCGUAGGUGGUUUGUCGCGUUGUUCGUGAAAACUCACAACUCAAUUGUGGGCGUGCGGGCGAUACGGGCAGACUGGAGUACUGCAGGGGAGACUGGAAUUCCUGGUGUAGCGGUGGAAUGCGCAGAUAUCAGGAGGAACACCGGUGGCGAAGGCGGCAUCCUGGACCGGCAUUGACGCUGAGGAGCGAAAGCCAGGGGAGCAAACGGG
This 253-nucleotide ribosomal RNA is filed under the name uncultured bacterium. RNAcentral describes it as "partial 16S ribosomal RNA". It matches the Rfam family "Bacterial small subunit ribosomal RNA", at positions 524 to 776 of the family's 1533-position model. The record is from RNAcentral.